This 472-nucleotide ribosomal RNA is filed under the name uncultured bacterium. RNAcentral describes it as "bacterial SSU rRNA". It matches the Rfam family "Bacterial small subunit ribosomal RNA", at positions 28 to 511 of the family's 1533-position model. The record is from RNAcentral.
GACGAACGCUGGCGGCGCGCCUAACACAUGCAAGUCGAACGAGAGAUGAGGAGCUUGCUCUUCAAAUCGAGUGGCGAACGGGUGAGUAACGCGUGAGGAACCUGCCUCAAAGAGGGGGACAACAGUUGGAAACGACUGCUAAUACCGCAUAAGCCCACGGCUCGGCAUCGAGCAGAGGGAAAAGGAGCAAUCCGCUUUGAGAUGGCCUCGCGUCCGAUUAGCUAGUUGGUGAGGUAACGGCCCACCAAGGCAACGAUCGGUAGCCGGACUGAGAGGUUGAACGGCCACAUUGGGACUGAGACACGGCCCAGACUCCUACGGGAGGCAGCAGUGGGAAUAUUGCACAAUGGGGGAAACCCUGAUGCAGCGACGCCGCGUGGAGGAAGAAAGGUCUUCGGAUUGUAAACUUCUGUUCUUAGUGAAGAAUAAUGACGGUUAGCUAAGGAGCAAGCCACGGCUAACUACGUGCCAG